This is a non-coding RNA of Ixodes scapularis (black-legged tick), 72 nucleotides long. Lineage: Eukaryota; Metazoa; Arthropoda; Arachnida; Ixodida; Ixodidae. The record is from Rfam.
CUGCGGUGCAUUGCAGUUGCAUUGCACGUCCACCGUACCGAGUGGUGCAGUGCUUCUGCAGUGCAGGCGCAG